ACCCUACCUCCUCCUCGUCCUCAUACGCCGCCGCCCCUCGCAAGGAGACUAGGAGAGGAACAGCGACCGCGUCGGCGUCGCCCCCUCCCUUUUCUCCACCGCCGUCCUAGAUUCUACCUCGCGAGCUAAAUACCCUCAUCUUCUCUAACUCCAUGCCGCCGCGCACCUCUCCCAUCGUGACCCGCGGCAGAAGCGCCGCCGUGCCAAUAUGCUGAGAUGGACGGCUUCGGCGGCGGCGCACGUGCGUUCUGGGGUGGACCAGUUCAGGGGUCCGCCAGAUCUAGCCUCGGGGUCGCCGGAUUUGGCCACCGGCCACGCCUCCUCUCUCUAUUUCCCUUCCAACCCUACUCUCUCUCAGUCUUCUCUUUCUCUCUCUUUGUGCAGGCACUGGGACAUGAGGAUCGAGCCUCGCCGGAGCGUGGACGGGAACUGACGGCAUGCGUUCGCGAAGUUGGACAAGGAACCGGCGGCGGCGCUCGUCGCGCGAGAUCCACAUCUCGAGCCGACGCGCCCGACCCCUAUCUUGCUCCCCAGGAUCGAAGCUUGCCUGCCCCUAACUCUACAGGAAGUUGACCGGCAAACGCUGCUCCCGGGGGACGAUCGUAGAGGUUGACCUCCGCUCGCUCGAUUCAUGUGAGUUGCCCGGUGCACAUGCAUGAGUGCUGUUCAGGAUAUGGUCUCCGUCUCGGCAGUAAAUGAUUGAAUCAGCUUUUAACUUGCAAGAGGAUCAUGCCUAAAUAAGGAUGUGCUAUUUUGGAUACAGUGGUAGGUUUGCUUAGUGAAGUGGGUAUUCAAAGGAAAGCAUGCCAAAGAUCAGGUUCUGCGGUAUGCAGACCAAGGCUGUGGAGUUGUACCUGUGGCUGGUCAGCAUGAUGAAGGAUGAUGUUCUGUGCCAUGUUCUCUUCAUUGAGGGGUCCGAGGCCUACUACAAGGCUCUACAGGUAGACAGAUUGAUGGACAUUGCAUAAUGUUUAGAAGGCUCGUGCCGUCAUGUGCAUGAUACACAUGUUUUUUCUAAUCGCUGAGGUACUUUGUAUACACUGGAUUCUUCCCAAGUCAAUGUGGAGUGAUCAAGAGUAGUAUGAUAGAGCUCAAGGUUGAGGAAGCUCAAAGAGAAGUCUCAGCAAAGAAAUGCUAGCUAGUUAUUGCCCAGAGCAGUUAUAAUUUGAUAGCUAGGACAUCUGUACAUGGGAUACGUAGUGUGGAGAUAUUGUAAUUGAAUUAACUAUGGCCGCAAGAGAUCUUUCUUCGUAUU
Lolium perenne is the source of this 1255-nucleotide non-coding RNA. The record is from RefSeq and is a predicted model, not a curated record. NCBI's taxonomy places the organism in Eukaryota, Viridiplantae, Streptophyta, Magnoliopsida, Poales, Poaceae.